AGGGCACCACCAGGAGUGGAGCCUGCGGCUUAAUUUGACUCAACACGGGAAAACUUACCCGGCCCGGACACUGGAAGGAUUGACAGAUUGAGAGCUCUUUCUUGAUUCAGUGGGUGGUGGUGCAUGGCCGUUCUUAGUUGGUGGAGCGAUUUGUCUGGUUAAUUCCGAUAACGAACGAGACUCUAGCCUACUAAAUAGACCAGUGGCUUCCUAAAACACGUCACUGGCCGCUUCUUAGAGGGACAGGCGGCGGUUCAGCCGCACGAAACAGAGCAAUAACAGGUCUGUGAUGCCCUUAGAUGUCCGGGGCCGCACGCGCGCUACACUGAAGUGAUCAGCGUGCUUGAGUGAACCUGGUCGGCCACGACUGGGUAACCCAAUGAACCUUCUUCGUGAUUGGGAUAGGGGAUUGUAAUUAUUCCCCUUGAACGAGGAAUUCCCAGUAAGCGCGAGUCAUAAGCUCGCGUUGAUUACGUCCCUGCCCUUUGUACACACCGCCCGUCGCUACUACCGAUUGAA
Molecule: ribosomal RNA, 519 nt
Filed under: uncultured eukaryote
Lineage: Eukaryota
Description: SSU rRNA
Rfam family: Eukaryotic small subunit ribosomal RNA
Source: RNAcentral